AAAUUGAAGAGUUUGAUCAUGGCUCAGAUUGAACGCUGGCGGCAGGCCUAACACAUGCAAGUCGAGCGGAAACGACGACAUUGAAUCUUCGGAGGAUUUGUUGGGCGUCGAGCGGCGGACGGGUGAGUAAUGCCUAGGAAAUUGCCUUGAUGUGGGGGAUAACCAUUGGAAACGAU
Molecule: ribosomal RNA, 176 nt
Filed under: Vibrio sp. OPT10
Lineage: Bacteria; Pseudomonadati; Pseudomonadota; Gammaproteobacteria; Vibrionales; Vibrionaceae
Description: partial 16S ribosomal RNA
Rfam family: Bacterial small subunit ribosomal RNA
Source: RNAcentral